AGCUUGCUUCUUUGCUGACGAGUGGCGGACGGGUGAGUAAUGUCUGGGAAACUGCCUGAUGGAGGGGGAUAACUACUGGAAACGGUAGCUAAUACCGCAUAACGUCGCAAGACCAAAGAGGGGGACCUUCGGGCCUCUUGCCAUCGGAUGUGCCCAGAUGGGAUUAGCUGUGGUGGGGUAACGGCUCACCUAGGCGACGAUCCCUAGCUGGUCUGAGAGGAUGACCAGCCACACUGGAACUGAGACACGGUCCAGACUCCUACGGGAGGCAGCAGUGGGGAAUAUUGCACAAUGGGCGCAAGCCUGAUGCAGCCAUGCCGCGUGUAUGAAGAAGGCCUUCGGGUUGUAAAGUACUUUCAGCGGGGAGGAAGGGAGUAAAGUUAAUACCUUUGCUCAUUGACGUUACCCGCAGAAGAAGCACCGGCUAACUCCGUGCCAGCAGCCGCGGUAAUACGGAGGGUGCAAGCGUUAAUCGGAAUUACUGGGCGUAAAGCGCACGCAGGCGGUUUGUUAAGUCAGAUGUGAAAUCCCCGGGCUCAACCUGGGAACUGCAUCUGAUACUGGCAAGCUUGAGUCUCGUAGAGGGGGGUAGAAUUCCAGGUGUAGCGGUGAAAUGCGUAGAGAUCUGGAGGAAUACCGGUGGCGAAGGCGGCCCCCUGGACGAAGAC
This 668-nucleotide ribosomal RNA is filed under the name Escherichia sp. Its description in RNAcentral is "bacterial SSU rRNA". It matches the Rfam family "Bacterial small subunit ribosomal RNA", at positions 73 to 740 of the family's 1533-position model. Lineage: Bacteria; Pseudomonadati; Pseudomonadota; Gammaproteobacteria; Enterobacterales; Enterobacteriaceae. The record is from RNAcentral.